This 253-nucleotide ribosomal RNA is filed under the name uncultured prokaryote. RNAcentral's name for it is "partial 16S ribosomal RNA". It matches the Rfam family "Bacterial small subunit ribosomal RNA", at positions 524 to 776 of the family's 1533-position model. The record is from RNAcentral.
GACAGAGGGUGCAAGCGUUGUUCGGAAUUACUGGGCGUAAAGGGCGUGUAGGCGGUGAGGUGUGUCUGGUGUGAAAGCCCUCGGCUUAACCGGGGAACUGCGUCUGAUACUGGAUGGCUUGAGAUUGGGAGAGGGAUGCGGAAUUCCAGGUGUAGCGGUGAAAUGCGUAGAUAUCUGGAGGAACACCGGUGGCGAAGGCGGCAUCCUGGACCAACACUGACGCUGAGGAGCGAAAGCCAGGGGAGCAAACGGG